Molecule: ribosomal RNA, 258 nt
Filed under: Olea europaea subsp. europaea
Lineage: Eukaryota; Viridiplantae; Streptophyta; Magnoliopsida; Lamiales; Oleaceae
Description: Bacterial small subunit ribosomal RNA
Rfam family: Bacterial small subunit ribosomal RNA
Source: Rfam by way of RNAcentral
AUGCAAGUCAGACGGGAAGUGGUGCUUCCAGUGACGGAUGGGUGAGUAACGCGUAAGAACCUGCCUUUGGGAGGGGAACAACAACUGGAAACGACUAUUAAUACCCUGCAGGCUGAGGAGCAAAAGGAGGAAGCCGCUUGAGGAGGGGCUUGCAUCUAAUUAGCUAGUUGGAGGCAAUAGCUUACCAAAGCAAUGAUCAGUAGAUGUUCCGAGAGGAUGAUCAGUCACACUGAGACUGAGACACAGCCCAGACAAACA